Long non-coding RNA from Wasmannia auropunctata (little fire ant), 1787 nucleotides. RefSeq lists it as uncharacterized. The transcript is spliced from 2 exons. The record is from RefSeq and is a predicted model, not a curated record. Lineage: Eukaryota; Metazoa; Arthropoda; Insecta; Hymenoptera; Formicidae.
AUUUAAAUUAUAAGUAAUUAGGUAUAAUGUUAUCGGAAUCGAUUUCUUUGAAAAAGAUUUAUUGAAACAUCAAGUAGUUUUUGAACUGCAAUUAAUAAAAAACUAUAUAUGUAGGUCUCUUACAUUCUUAUCUCUUCUAAGCUACAGUUGAAAAAAAGAACCGAGGGAAAAGUAAAUGUGUGAUAAAGCGUCGGUAUAAUGCAUUAUAUGCCCUUUCAAUUAAUGUUCUCCCAGGUGAGACCAUGUAUGAGGUAAAUUCUUAAUCCUUAAGAAUUAUAUUUUAGCGAUAUCAGAACUUUCACUAACAAUAAGUUAAUACAAAUGAUCCUGCGGCGUUUGAGAUUCGAAAGGAUAUCUACUAUAGAACACGUCUAUUCACUAAGAUCUUUCACGAUCUAGCGUCUCGAAUAAUUUAUACUGCAUUCCGAAAUCAUUAUUUCGCACUCUGCAGUUUCAGUAGAAAUACGUCUAAAUCAAUGUACAGUUAACGACGUGCAUCACGUCCGCAUUUAAUAAUUAAUGCUGUUCAUAACAAAUACAAUUAUGUAAUUUGUAUAUAAUAUAUAGGUACGUAUCUUCAAGAGCAAUUUCAGAACGCUAAUUGCUCAUUGCAUUAUCGUCUUACAGUAAGCGAUCUAAUGUACAGCGGCACAACCUCUCGUGCGUAUUGCUAGAAACACCGCGCGGGGACGAGGCAUUGUAAUUUCGUUUAAACAAUUCCGGGUGUAAUGACGAACGCAACAACAUUGCACGUCCUCCGUUCGCAGAUGAUAAUCUCCGCGAAAUACGCUACAAUGAGUUUCUAUCGAUUCCGACAUUCGCGUCGCUUCGUAAAUCACGAAGGCAGGAGUCCUGAUAAGAGAAUAGAGAAAGAAUUGUAAGAAAAUAAAAAUUGAUUAGAGUAACGCGCUACAAGUUGUCUGUUCUCUUGUAGCGAAUCGUGAUAUACGCAAAUGAACGAUGAGAACUCGUUAAAUUCAUCAAUCUUACAAUCUCCGUAUUUACAUGCUUUUUUCUCUAGUAACAAUAAUCCUACUAAAUUAUCCUCUAUAUCCGAUUACUGCAGAUGUAAGAAUCUGCUGAAUUGCAUAUGUUGAACAAACGAAGAAUCAAGUACAACGCCAGAGCGAUCUUCGAUGUCUCUCGGAGCGGCUUGUUAACAUCACUUUCAGUAGCAUCUAGAAGAGACUAGCGAUGAGAGAUAGAGAGAGAGAUAGAGAGAGAGAGAAACAAACGUUACAUUACGUAUUAUUUAUUUCACACACCACUGAGACUUUAAAAAUUACUCCAUUUGAUAAUCGCGAAUUCUUAUCUUUUCAUCUUUUAUUUUUCCGAUCUGUCUAUGCGCGAAUUAACGUUAAAUUGGGACGAGAGCGCGAAGAAAACAAAAAGAGAGACUCGUCGACCUAGAAUAAUUCGCGAUUGUUAGUUAUAACUAUAUAAAAAUUGCAUUAGAUCGCGUUCGUCUCCCCCCCCCCCGUUCGCAGCAUACAUCAUAUCAUGCUAUUCUGCAUGUGAAGUGUCAAAAAGCUCAUGAUUUUUACACGAUGAUAACAUGGAUGUGAAUGGUAUUCGCCCUUUCGCUCAUUGUUCUAGGUCUUCGGAGUAGUCUAGACCGCAGGCUCCGUCAUUUGUACACACGCAGAAAACUCCCAGAUUUUCGCAAAAACAAAAACAAAACGAUUCGGUCGAGUACUGGGCUUCACGUUAGUCACGAAUUUGCACCUAUAAACAACAAAAACACAUAUGUAAAAACUCUCGUUAAUAAAUACGUGAACAGAGCCGUA